This 310-nucleotide ribosomal RNA is filed under the name uncultured soil bacterium. Its description in RNAcentral is "bacterial SSU rRNA". It matches the Rfam family "Bacterial small subunit ribosomal RNA", at positions 26 to 337 of the family's 1533-position model. The record is from RNAcentral.
AGAUUGAACGCUAGCGGGAUGCUUUACACAUGCAAGUCGAACGGCAGCACGGGAGCAAUCCUGGUGGCGAGUGGCGAACGGGUGAGUAAUAUAUCGGAACGUGCCCAGUCGUGGGGGAUAACGCAGCGAAAGCUGUGCUAAUACCGCAUACGAUCUAUGGAUGAAAGCGGGGGAUCGCAAGACCUCGCGCGAUUGGAGCGGCCGAUAUCAGAUUAGCUAGUUGGUGGGGUAAAAGCCUACCAAGGCGACGAUCUGUAGCUGGUCUGAGAGGACGACCAGCCACACUGGAACUGACGACACGGUCCAGACU